This 497-nucleotide ribosomal RNA is filed under the name uncultured bacterium. RNAcentral describes it as "partial 16S ribosomal RNA". It matches the Rfam family "Bacterial small subunit ribosomal RNA", at positions 28 to 507 of the family's 1533-position model. The record is from RNAcentral.
GAUGAACACUGGCGGCGUGCCUAAUACAUGCAAGUCGAGCGAACAGACGAGGAGCUUGCUCCUCUGACGUUAGCGGCGGACGGGUGAGUAACACGUGGAUAACCUACCUAUAAGACUGGGAUAACUUCGGGAAACCGGAGCUAAUACCGGAUAAUAUAUUGAACCGCAUGGUUCAAUAGUGAAAGACGGUUUUGCUGUCACUUAUAGAUGGAUCCGCGCCGCAUUAGCUAGUUGGUAAGGUAACGGCUUACCAAGGCAACGAUGCGUAGCCGACCUGAGAGGGUGAUCGGACACACUGGAACUGAGACACGGUCCAGACUCCUACGGGAGGCAGCAGUAGGGAAUCUUCCGCAAUGGGCGAAAGCCUGACGGAGCAACGCCGCGUGAGUGAUGAAGGUCUUCGGAUCGUAAAACUCUGUUAUUAGGGAAGAACAAAUGUGUAAGUAACUAUGCACGUCUUGACGGUACCUAAUCAGAAGGCCACGGCUAACUACGUG